UGCAAGUCGGACGACAGGCGAGGAAUCCGCAAGGAGGUAUCGUGCUGAGUGGCGUACGGGUGAGUAAUACAUGGGGACGUACCCUCAAGAGGGGGAUAGCAUUCCGAAAGGGAUGGUAAUACCCCGUAAGCUCGAGAGAGGGAAGGUACAGCAGUACCGCUUGAGGAGCGACUCAUGGCCCAUCAGUUAGUUGGUGAGGUAAAGGCCCACCAAGGCGAUGACGGGUAGCUGGUCUGAGAGGAUGGUCAGCCACACUGGGACUGAGACACGGCCCAGACUCCUACGGGAGGCAGCAGUGGGGAAUUUUUCCCAAUGGGCGAAAGCCUGAGGGAGCGACGCCGCGUGGAGGAAGGAGUCUUUCGAGAUGUAAACUCCUGUUGUAAGGGAGCAAGGGUAUAUGGAGUGGAAAGUCAUAUACUCGGAUAGUACCUUACGAGGAAGCCCCGGCUAACUACGUGCCAGCAGCCGCGGUAAUACGUAGGGGGCGAGCGUUGUCCGGAGUUACUGGGCGUAAAGGGUGCGUAGGUGGCCGAUAAAGUCAAUUGUGAAAUUCCACGGCUCAACUGUGGGAGUGCGGUUGAAACUAAUCGGCUUGAGGUCAGGUCAGGAAGAUGGAAUUGUCAGUGUAGGGGUGAAAUCCGUAGAU
Molecule: ribosomal RNA, 646 nt
Filed under: uncultured bacterium
Lineage: Bacteria
Description: bacterial SSU rRNA
Rfam family: Bacterial small subunit ribosomal RNA
Source: RNAcentral